AAAUUGAAGAGUUUGAUCAUGGCUCAGAUUGAACGCUGGCGGCAGGCUUAACACAUGCAAGUCGAACGGUAGCAGGAAGAAGCUUGUUUCUUUGCUGACGAGUGGCGGACGGGUGAGUAAUGCUUGGGAAUCUGGCUUAUGGAGGGGGAUAACUACGGGAAACUGUAGCUAAUACCGCGUAGUAUCGGGAGAUGAAAGACUGGGACCGCAAGGC
RNAcentral lists this ribosomal RNA (214 nucleotides) under Glaesserella parasuis. Its description in RNAcentral is "partial 16S ribosomal RNA". It matches the Rfam family "Bacterial small subunit ribosomal RNA", at positions 1 to 212 of the family's 1533-position model. Lineage: Bacteria; Pseudomonadati; Pseudomonadota; Gammaproteobacteria; Pasteurellales; Pasteurellaceae. The record is from RNAcentral.